CCUAGAAGCGGCGGUAGGCUUAACACAUGCAAGUCGAACGGAAACGAUGAAGAGCUUGCUCUUCAGGCGUCGAGUGGCGGACGGGUGAGUAACGCGUGGGAAUCUACCCUAUAGUUGGGGACAACAUAUGGAAACGUAUGCUAAUACCGAAUAAUCUCUACGGAGUAAAGGAGCCCACUUCCUGAAAGGUUUCGCUAUAGGAUGAGCCCGCGUUAGAUUAGCUAGUUGGUAAGGUAACGGCUUACCAAGGCCACGAUCUAUAGCUGGUUUGAGAGGAUGAUCAGCCACACUGGGACUGAGACACGGCCCAGACUCCUACGGGAGGCAGCAGUGGGGAAUAUUGCACAAUGGACGCAAGUCUGAUGCAGCCAUACCGCGUGUGUGAAGAAGGCCCGAGGGUUGUAAAGCACUUUCAGUAGGGAGGAAGAUACUAGGGUUAAUACCCCUAUAAUUUGACGUUACCUACAGAAGAAGCACCGGCUAACUCUGUGCCAGCAGCCGCGGUAAUACAGAGGGUGCAAGCGUUAUUCGGAAUUACUGGGCGUAAAGCGCGCGUAGGCGGAUGAUUAAGUCAGUUGUGAAAGCCCUGGGCUCAGCCUCGGAACGGCAUCUGAUACUGGUCAUCUAGAUUUAAGAGAGGGAAGUGGAAUUCCAGGUGUAGCAGUGAAAUGCGUAGAUAUCUGGAGGAACAUCAGUGGCGAAGGCGACUUCCUGUCUUAAACUGACGCUGAGGUGCGAAAGCGUGGGUAGCGAACGGGAUUAUAUACCCCGGUAGUCC
Molecule: ribosomal RNA, 778 nt
Filed under: uncultured Gammaproteobacteria bacterium
Lineage: Bacteria; Pseudomonadati; Pseudomonadota; Gammaproteobacteria
Description: bacterial SSU rRNA
Rfam family: Bacterial small subunit ribosomal RNA
Source: RNAcentral